This 1167-nucleotide ribosomal RNA is filed under the name Bacteroides ovatus. RNAcentral describes it as "bacterial SSU rRNA". It matches the Rfam family "Bacterial small subunit ribosomal RNA", at positions 96 to 1268 of the family's 1533-position model. The record is from RNAcentral. Lineage: Bacteria; Pseudomonadati; Bacteroidota; Bacteroidia; Bacteroidales; Bacteroidaceae.
CGGCGCACGGGUGAGUAACACGUAUCCAACCUGCCGAUAACUCCGGAAUAGCCUUUCGAAAGAAAGAUUAAUACCGGAUNGCAUACGAAUAUCGCAUGAUAUUUUUAUUAAAGAAUUUCGGUUAUCGAUGGGGAUGCGUUCCAUUAGUUUGUUGGCGGGGUAACGGCCCACCAAGACUACGAUGGAUAGGGGUUCUGAGAGGAAGGUCCCCCACAUUGGAACUGAGACACGGUCCAAACUCCUACGGGAGGCAGCAGUGAGGAAUAUUGGUCAAUGGGCGAGAGCCUGAACCAGCCAAGUAGCGUGAAGGAUGAAGGCUCUAUGGGUCGUAAACUUCUUUUAUAUGGGAAUAAAGUUUUCCACGUGUGGAAUUUUGUAUGUACCAUAUGAAUAAGGAUCGGCUAACUCCGUGCCAGCAGCCGCGGUAAUACGGAGGAUCCGAGCGUUAUCCGGAUUUAUUGGGUUUAAAGGGAGCGUAGGUGGAUUGUUAAGUCAGUUGUGAAAGUUUGCGGCUCAACCGUAAAAUUGCAGUUGAAACUGGCAGUCUUGAGUACAGUAGAGGUGGGCGGAAUUCGUGGUGUAGCGGUGAAAUGCUUAGAUAUCACGAAGAACUCCGAUUGCGAAGGCAGCUCACUAGACUGUUACUGACACUGAUGCUCGAAAGUGUGGGUAUCAAACAGGAUUAGAUACCCUGGUAGUCCACACAGUAAACGAUGAAUACUCGCUGUUUGCGAUAUACAGUAAGCGGCCAAGCGAAAGCAUUAAGUAUUCCACCUGGGGAGUACGCCGGCAACGGUGAAACUCAAAGGAAUUGACGGGGGCCCGCACAAGCGGAGGAACAUGUGGUUUAAUUCGAUGAUACGCGAGGAACCUUACCCGGGCUUAAAUUGCAACAGAAUAUAUUGGAAACAGUAUAGCCGUAAGGCUGUUGUGAAGGUGCUGCAUGGUUGUCGUCAGCUCGUGCCGUGAGGUGUCGGCUUAAGUGCCAUAACGAGCGCAACCCUUAUCUUUAGUUACUAACAGGUUAUGCUGAGGACUCUAGAGAGACUGCCGUCGUAAGAUGUGAGGAAGGUGGGGAUGACGUCAAAUCAGCACGGCCCUUACGUCCGGGGCUACACACGUGUUACAAUGGGGGGUACAGAAGGCGGCUACCUGGUGACAGGAUGC